UACGGGGGGGGCAAGCGUUGUUCGGAAUUACUGGGCGUAAAGGGUUUGUAGGUGGCUUGUUAAGUCAGACGUGAAAUCCCUCAGCUUAACUGGGGAACUGCGUCUGAGACUGGUGAGCUUGAGUGCAGGAGAGGAACGCGGAAUUCCAGGUGUAGCGGUGAAAUGCGUAGAUAUCUGGAGGAACACCGGUGGCGAAGGCGGCUUCCUGGACCGACACUGACGCUGAGGCGCGAAAGCUAGGGGAGCAAACGGG
Molecule: ribosomal RNA, 253 nt
Filed under: uncultured bacterium
Lineage: Bacteria
Description: partial 16S ribosomal RNA
Rfam family: Bacterial small subunit ribosomal RNA
Source: RNAcentral